CGUGCUACAAUGGGUAGUACAGAGGGUUGCCAAUCCGUAAUGUGGAGCGAAUCCCUUACAGCUACUCUGAGUUCGUAAUGUAGGCUGAAACUCACCUACAUGAAGCGGGAGUGACUAGUAAUCGCAGAUCAGAAUACUGCGGUGAAUGCGUUCCCGGGUCUUGUACACACCGCCCGUCACACCACGGGAGUUGGAGACGCCCGAAGCCGAUUAUCUAACCGUUUGGAAGAAGUCGUCGAAGGUGGAAUCAAUAACUGGGGUGAAGUCGUAACAAGGUAGCCGUAUCGGAAGGUGCGGCUGGAUCACCUCCUUUCUAAGGAGA
This 322-nucleotide ribosomal RNA is filed under the name Clostridioides difficile. Its description in RNAcentral is "bacterial SSU rRNA". It matches the Rfam family "Bacterial small subunit ribosomal RNA", at positions 1221 to 1533 of the family's 1533-position model. Lineage: Bacteria; Bacillati; Bacillota; Clostridia; Peptostreptococcales; Peptostreptococcaceae. The record is from RNAcentral.